This 253-nucleotide ribosomal RNA is filed under the name uncultured bacterium. RNAcentral describes it as "partial 16S ribosomal RNA". It matches the Rfam family "Bacterial small subunit ribosomal RNA", at positions 524 to 776 of the family's 1533-position model. The record is from RNAcentral.
UACGUAGGGGGCAAGCGUUGUCCGGAUUUAUUGGGCGUAAAGAGCUCGUAGGCGGCUUGUCGCGUCGACUGUGAAAUCCCGCGGCUCAACUGCGGGUCUGCAGUCGAUACGGGCAGGCUAGAGUUCGGUAGGGGAGACUGGAAUUCCUGGUGUAGCGGUGAAAUGCGCAGAUAUCAGGAGGAACACCAAUGGCGAAGGCAGCUCGCUGGAACGGAACUGACGCUGAGGCGCGAAAGCGUGGGGAGCGAGCAGG